GGCCUCGUAGCUCAGCUUGUAGAGCGUGCGUUAUACAAAGGUGUGGGCGUCGUCCAUGCGUGGGUUUGAAUCCCACCGAGGCUA
This 84-nucleotide transfer RNA is filed under the name Echinostoma caproni. It matches the Rfam family "tRNA". From Rfam's summary of the family: Transfer RNA (tRNA) molecules are approximately 80 nucleotides in length. The record is from Rfam by way of RNAcentral. Lineage: Eukaryota; Metazoa; Platyhelminthes; Trematoda; Plagiorchiida; Echinostomatidae.